CAUGAGUGUGCAUGGGCACAUGCAAAUCCCCUCUCUUGGACACACAGACACAUGCACAUACAUGUGUGCAAACA
Molecule: microRNA precursor, 74 nt
Filed under: Mesocricetus auratus (golden hamster)
Lineage: Eukaryota; Metazoa; Chordata; Mammalia; Rodentia; Cricetidae
Description: miRNA (ENSMAUG00000005973.1)
Source: RNAcentral